UUUGCCUUUUGUGAUACGCUUUCAAAGAGUCAGGUUGUUUGGGAAUGCAGCCUAAAUUGGGUGGUAAAUCUCACCUAAAGCUAAAUAUUGGCGAGAAACCGAUAGCGAACAAGUACCGUGAGGGAAAGAUGAAAAGAACUUUGAAAAGAGAGUUAAACAGUAUGUGAAAUUGUUAAAAGGGAACCGUUUGGAGCCAGACUGGCUUGUCUGUAAUCAAUCUAGGCUUCGGCCUGGAUGCACUUGCAGGCUAUGCCUGCCAACGACAAUUUGACUUGAGGGAAAAAACUAGGGGAAAUGUGGCCCACUUGUGGGUGUUAUAGUCCCUUAGAAAAUACCUUGGGUUGGAUUGAGGAACGCAGCGAAUGCUUAUUGGCGAGUUUUCCAGGAAGGUUUUCUGAGGUACUACGGUAUCAAGGUUGAUCUUUU
This 426-nucleotide ribosomal RNA is filed under the name Rhizopus arrhizus. Its description in RNAcentral is "eukaryotic LSU rRNA". It matches the Rfam family "Eukaryotic large subunit ribosomal RNA", at positions 236 to 615 of the family's 3401-position model. Lineage: Eukaryota; Fungi; Mucoromycota; Mucoromycetes; Mucorales; Rhizopodaceae. The record is from RNAcentral.